This 1430-nucleotide long non-coding RNA is filed under the name Equus caballus (horse). RNAcentral describes it as "lncRNA (ENSECAG00000059479.1)". Lineage: Eukaryota; Metazoa; Chordata; Mammalia; Perissodactyla; Equidae. The record is from RNAcentral.
CCAGGAUUCCAUCCCAGGAAAUCCCCUCCAGCUGCCUCUGCUCAUGAGAGACUCGCCCAGUCUCCUUGUCUCUUCCAGCUCUAACUUUCCUCUUAUUCAUCUCAAUUAGGUGGAGCUAAAUGUUCAAGUUUUCAGGAACCAGUAGUGAGGACUUGUUCCCAAGGAUGCAAGGGUGAGCUGGGUCUGAGAAACCAACCAGAAGGGUUGCCCAGAAGCACUGGGUAUGGAUCAGAGACUUGGUCACCCCAGCAGCUCUGACUUGGCCUCCAGUGUUUGACCCCGCCCCUUUGAAGCACCAUCCAGCACACUCUGCUGGGGUUUUAUGAUGACAUUAAACAAACCUCAACUGCCUUGGCCACCCUCCAGUGUCCACCCUACUCCCUAUCUUGUUAGCUGUCCAAGAGUUGACAGUCCAGAUGUGCAGAUGUGAUGAGCAGGACAGGGAGAAACAGCCUCAAGGUGAGCUGCCUGGCCUUGGGAAGAAAGAGUGGAGACCACAAAGGCAGUGUGAAUACGGACUGAAAUUCAUAUGAGAGCUGGCUUAUGGUGACAUAUUAUUAGAAGAGAUGUCCUCUCCUGAGGAGGUGCCAGAACCACAUUCCGGAGACUCCGGAAUCACCUGCCGGGCAUGCCGGAACCACCUCUCAGACGUGCCAGAACCAUGUGCCGGACACGCCGGAACCACCUGCCGAGUAUGCCGGAACCACCUUCUCCACUCCCCAGAACCACCUGCUGGACACGCCGGGACCACCUGCUUGACUCGCCAGAACCACCUGCCGGACACGCCAGAAUCGCCAGCCGGCUACGCCACAACCACUUGUCGGACACUCCAGAAUCACCUGCCGGGCAUGAAGCACAACCUCUCAGAACUUGGGUCCUAAGAUUUACCUCCUGUGCCCUCUUCUAUCCCAUAAAACCAAAUUAGAAGCUCAAGUUCACUAAGUUUCUUAGAAACUCUUGGCGAAGUUCCAGCUGUUUCACUUAACUCACAGGAUUCCUGUUUUCAAUUCAGUUUGGAGAUUACACAUAACUUUUUUUUUUUUGCCAGCUCAAUGAGGAACUUAAAAAAAAAAUUUUAAAAUAUUCCAUACAACAUUAUCAUUGUUUCGAUCAGGAGUGGCAUUCAGCAUACCUAAUAUAAUCUGGCAAGUUAUACAGCCCCACUUCUUUAAUCUUUAGCAAAUAGCCCAGCGCUGCUCAAGAGAACUUUCCCUGAAGGUGGAAAUGUUCCAUACCUCCACUGGCCAGUAUGGACUCCACUAGCGACAUGUGGCUGUUGAGCAUGUGAAAUAUGACUCCUUAGAUUAAAGAAGUGAAUUUUUAUUUUCAUUUAAUUCUAAUCAUUUUAAAUCUAAAUAACCAGUUGUGGUUAAUGGCUACCGUAUCUGAUAGCUGAGAGACAGACCUUUAUUCACCCAAACAUAAGUGCU